Non-coding RNA from Parelaphostrongylus tenuis, 76 nucleotides. The record is from the annotation of a GenBank genome assembly. NCBI's taxonomy places the organism in Eukaryota, Metazoa, Nematoda, Chromadorea, Rhabditida, Metastrongylidae.
GUGUCGGUAGUGCAAUGGUUCAGCACGCGCUCCUGGAACGAGUGAGAUCUGGAUUCGAAUCCUAACUGGUUAAACG